This 221-nucleotide ribosomal RNA is filed under the name uncultured bacterium. Its description in RNAcentral is "partial 16S ribosomal RNA". It matches the Rfam family "Bacterial small subunit ribosomal RNA", at positions 524 to 744 of the family's 1533-position model. The record is from RNAcentral.
UACGUAGGGUGCGAGCGUUAAUCGGAAUUACUGGGCGUAAAGCGUGCGCAGGCGGUUCGCCAAGUCAGGUGUGAAAUCCCCGGGCUCAACCUGGGAAUUGCGCUUGAAACUAGCGAGCUUGAGUGUGGCAGAGGGGGGUGGAAUUCCACGUGUAGCGGUGAAAUGCGUAGAUAUGUGGAGGACCACCGAUGGCGAAGGCAGCCCCCUGGGUCACCACUGAC